GGGCGCACGUACGUUACGUGUGUACCCGGAAGUCCUUCUCCUUCUCCGGACUUCACUUAUUUUUUAUAGUUAUUAAUCAUGUCUAUGCUUCCCCCGGCCGCAGUGUUCCGGCUUCCUUGGGAAGUGAACUCUUUGAAGGAAGGGGAAUCAGUGCGAACAUUCGGCAGGCUGGUCUGCUAUCAGCCAGAUGAAUCCAGAGCCACCCUCUCUGCCCAGCAUGCUUCCAAAGAGCACCUUGUGUUUGUCCACACCCAGUUUGUUGAACCAUUUAACCCGAUAAUAGGAGCCCAGUACCUGGUUUUGGGUGAAACAGAAAACUCUGAAGGGGUCGGAGUGACGGUUCGUGCCCGUGUGCUGAACUGUGUUGACGGUGUAAACAUUGCACUUCUGCAGAGGGCUGUCGCAGAGCAGCGGAGUUUCUUCGCUGAGAGGGAGAGCAAACGGGUGGAGGCGACGCACCCAGGGGAUGGAACCUGAUGAAGGCCUCCAUGCUGUGACGCUGGCAGGGCUACACUACCUUUCAUUAACUUUUAUUCUAGAUAUUAUCUAUUGCUGCAUGUUUGGAAAAAUAAAUUAGUUCUCCAGAAGAUUCAGCAGUCCCGUCUAUUGUUAGAUGUUUAUUUGAUGGUUUCUGAUACUUUUUAACAAUAUUCAGCUUUAUGCAACCUUAUUGUUUUGUAUUUUUCAAAGCUUAUUUAAAAGUAACAGAUUUACCUGUUUGGUGAAUGAGAACAGAUGUGGAAUAUUUUUUUAUUCUAUUUGUUAUUUCAAUAAAGAACAUAUUUUUAUAGCUGUGAAUUACUGCUGUGUGUAAAAAUAAAAAAAAAUCCCUGGAAAAUCUGAUC
This is an RNA transcript of Cyprinodon tularosa, 845 nucleotides long. It is a transcript of the gene named TEN1 subunit of CST complex, with no coding region annotated. The transcript is spliced from 4 exons. The record is from RefSeq and is a predicted model, not a curated record. Lineage: Eukaryota; Metazoa; Chordata; Actinopteri; Cyprinodontiformes; Cyprinodontidae.